UCUGCCUCCCUCUCCAACGACCUUAUCUUCUUCCUCCGACGCCCGACGCCGCCUUGAAUCCAGUCUACCGCCGACGCUGCCCCUCGGCCUCCGCUCUGCCUUGCCGACGCUGCCCCGACGCCGACAAGACCUGCCCUUCCUCCUCCCACCUCCCUCCAUCCCUUGUACUCCAUCUUGGUCCUUGAAGCUCAGCUCCGCCGUUCGCCCCCGCCGCCGUCGGAUCCGCCGCCACCGUCUCAACCUCCUCCACGCUAAUUCGUCGACGGUGCUCGCCCUGCCGCCUCCACUGCCCCAACCGGGGGUCCCCCGCCGCCUCCGCUCCGUCGCCGUCUCAACCGCCACCACCGCCGGCCGGCGAGCCACCCGGAGCUUCCUCUACAGCUGCAGGCCACAGGUCAGGAUGCCUCCCCCUCCCAGCGUCCUCGCUGCGACGCUGGUCGCUUCUCAAUCAUCGUCACACCGCCGUUUCGCAGGUCUGCCCACGCACGGCAUGCUCUCCGCGACGUUUCAUGUCGGCCUCGCUUGUCCCCAAACCAGCAUGCAUGCUUCGUACCCGAUGUGCCUGCGCCUCACCAUCGCAAAUCCCCAACACCGGCGACCUCAACGAUGAUCAAGACUGACAUCCUGCGAGGCUGCGUGCAAGCCCGGCCCUGUCAGCAAUGGCAAGUUGUGCUAUAUUAUAUAUCGAGAUGAGCCGGUUCUGCUA
This is a long non-coding RNA of Panicum virgatum (switchgrass), 706 nucleotides long. RefSeq lists it as uncharacterized. The record is from RefSeq and is a predicted model, not a curated record. NCBI's taxonomy places the organism in Eukaryota, Viridiplantae, Streptophyta, Magnoliopsida, Poales, Poaceae. The transcript is spliced from 2 exons.